This 2366-nucleotide long non-coding RNA is filed under the name Homo sapiens (human). Its description in RNAcentral is "HSALNT0342601". Lineage: Eukaryota; Metazoa; Chordata; Mammalia; Primates; Hominidae. The record is from RNAcentral.
AGAGGAGAGGAGGAGCAGGAGCAGGAGCAGGGGCAGUGGAAGACGGUGCUUUCACACUGGAGUUAACCCAGCAGCCCCAAAGGAUGAAGCAUUGUGAACUGGGAAAAGGGAGGCAGCGUAAUGGUAAACUGAGGCAUUCUAGAAUGCUGGCAGCAUUUGCUCUUACAGGCGAUGUGUUAACUAAGGUCACUAGAGGUGAAUCAAUAUUUGUUCUUUUUAAUACAUUUAUAUGUAAAAAGUGACAAGAACUGGUUGUGACCUUGUCCUGUCUCUCCAUCACUGGCACACAAGAAGGCCCACCUAUCACGAUUCCUCACCUCAAACUAUCUGGCAGUUGCUGCUGGAACUGUAGGCAUUACACUGCUGAGUGAAAAAUAAUUUUCUAAAGGAGUUGUCUUUUGUCCUAUAGAAGGACAACAAAUGCUACAACUUGAUUUUGAGGGUGAAUCUAACUUUGGAUAAAGUCACUUUUUCCUUUCCUAAACAUUUCUAACAAUUUUAACAACAGGUCAUUUUUAUACAUAGUAGAUUCUUCAUAAAUAAUCCAGAACCAGUAACCACAUGCAGCCUGCAGGGGUCCAGAAUCACUGAUUGGAUAUACCAAGUGUUGACCGAAGCUGCCCUUUCUGAGACAGCCUGUCCUCCUUGGCCUGUGGACCUUUGUGACCCUGCAGUGGGGGUAUAGUGAGGCCUUUCUUCUGGAGACGGAACGACAAGCUUCUAAUCCCAGCUCUGUCACGUUCCUACUGGGCGACCUGGCAGGUACUCGACCUCUCUGACUUGAGGGGAUAUGCACAUUUCUUUAAGAAUGCAUGGAGUGAAUGAAAAUAACAUGGGGGUAUGAACCACAGAGUGAACAUGUACCACAAACAACUCUUGUUGAAAUAUACAGUCCCGGGAAAUGUCACCGUCUUCAUUUACUAAAGUGUGAUGGAGAGGGGGAUUGCUGAACAAUCCCAGGGACAGACGUCAUCAUGGAAUGUCAGAGACGCCAAGGUAAAACCCAAUACUAUGUGGCUACUUUUCAAACCUAUUUGUCAUCUCAAUGCAGGUCUUUAAAAAAUCUGUGUUGGUGUGACAGAGAAUGCCCCUUUGAACAGCGUUUUUGAUCUGUUUUAAAAAACAGACUUCUUUGAGUAUCACUGGGAAACUCAGGGACCCCAGGUAAGAAAUCCCUGCUUUAGAGAAUGAUGGAUGGUAAGGGUAUGUUGGAAGAGAAGCUGCAAAAGGAAUUUCCAGAUGUGUUCUAUCAGAAGUUAAGAAAGAAUAAAUAAAAGGAGUAAAAACUAUUUCAUGUAACAUUUCCUAGAGAGCAAGACAAUCUUACCUGUUAACUGUUUGUUACAAAGCAUUUUCUGAAAAAUCAUAGUGCAACCUAAAUAGCUUCUUAAAAAUCCAAAUUAUGGAGACCAGAUGAUGCUACAUGCUUGCUACUGGGUAAAGACAACAUCUAAAGUCAUUAAAAAAUGUUAUUUGAAUACCUGAGGCAGGCAAUUCUAUCAGUCCUACCUCAAUAGCUUAAACUAAAAAUGAAACAUUUACAGAUGUGUUAAUUUGGGUAGUUAAAAAAGAAGAUCAAUUUAUUAUCUCACAUAAAAUUUACUAGGAUAGUCAAUCAGACAGCAUCAAUAGGUUUACCAAGACACUAAAAUUAUAUUCUAAGAUAUGUUUAUAAAAUGUAGACGCUCAAGACCUUUGUUCAAAUAAAUGUAAUAAAAUUACAUUUCUUAGAAUUAAGAAAAGAAAGAUAUUAAAGCAGUUAAAUAAUGCUUUUGACUUCUGAAAUAUAAUUCAACAACACAUGCAAAUUUUGUAUCUCUUUGUGCUAAGCAUGGGGAAACAGCAGAGGGCAAAACUGAUUACUGAAUUAUGCAGAGUCCUUCUGUGGACCUAAUUAAUUUUAGUUUUCCGAGAUUUUCUUCUUAUAGGUAAAAUAAUAGGAAUAUGAUCAAUCAAUGACAGUAAAUAUGCACACAUGUGUAAAACAUCAAUGGCAACCCAGGAAAAACAUUAAUUUUCUUAAAAAAUUUUGGAAUAUUGAAACAGGAAUUUAAUCUUGGAGUAAUAUGGAAGAUGUUCAAGGCAGAAACAUAAUACUUCUAACACAAGAGCAUUUACUAACAGAAGAGCAAAAUACUUCUAACGGAAAAGCAUUUAGUUUCUUCUUAUAUUUUACAUUGGUUUCUAUGGGUGCUCCCUUCUCAGAGUUUCUUCUCUAAACUGUUCAUUAUUAUUAUUUUGUUUCUAGUUUUAUUGAAAUGAAAUCAUUAUCUCUACGAGUAUCGACUCUCCUAAAUUCAUUGCAGCAUUAUUCACAAUAGUCAAGACAUGAAAACAACCUAAAUAUCCAUUGACAGAUGAAUGGA